Molecule: long non-coding RNA, 331 nt
Filed under: Homo sapiens (human)
Lineage: Eukaryota; Metazoa; Chordata; Mammalia; Primates; Hominidae
Description: non-protein coding lnc-AKR1E2-5:7
Source: RNAcentral
CCACGCUUGUGGUCGUCACUGUAGUGCUCAGUUGAAUGGUGUGUCCAUUGGGGUUGGAGUCCCCAUCCUGUUCUGGGUCCUGGCCCCCCACAGGCUCCAGGGACAUAACCCUUCCAGUUCAGGAUCAUGUGCUGGGGCACUGUUCCCUGAGGUGGGACUCUGGGCUGUAACAGCUGCUUUUGAAGCAUGUUCCAGCUUCAACCACGUGCUUGGACGACACCAGCUCUUCCCACAUACUCUUCCCCAGCUCUUGUGUUGAGUUUGGCUUCCACCUUCCUCCAGCUGGUUCUACUCCCGCGAGACCCUCAUGAAGUCCUGAGGUUGCCUCUCG